UGAGGAAUAUUGCACAAUGGAGGAAACUCUGAUGCAGCCAUGCCGCGUGAGUGAAGAAGGCCUUAGGGUUGUAAAGCUCUUUCAAUAGUGAAGAUAAUGACGGUAGCUAUAGAAGAAGCUCCGGCUAAAUUCGUGCCAGCAGCCGCGGUAAUACGAAUGGAGCAAGCGUUGUUCGGAAUCACUGGGCUUAAAGCGUGCGCAGGCGGACUAGCAAGUCAGAAGUGAAAGCCCUGGGCUCAACCCGGGAAUUGCUUUUGAAACUACUAGUCUAGAAUUCGGGAGAGGUCAGUAGAAUUCCAAGUGUAGAGGUGAAAUACGCAGAUAUUUGGAGGAAUACCAGUGGCGUAGGCGACUGACUGGACCGAUAUUGACGCUCAGGCACGAAAGCGUGGGGAGCAAACAGGAUU
Molecule: ribosomal RNA, 407 nt
Filed under: uncultured Aestuariispira sp.
Lineage: Bacteria; Pseudomonadati; Pseudomonadota; Alphaproteobacteria; Rhodospirillales; Aestuariispiraceae
Description: bacterial SSU rRNA
Rfam family: Bacterial small subunit ribosomal RNA
Source: RNAcentral